Molecule: long non-coding RNA, 212 nt
Filed under: Arabidopsis lyrata
Lineage: Eukaryota; Viridiplantae; Streptophyta; Magnoliopsida; Brassicales; Brassicaceae
Description: long non-coding RNA (ALYR_LNC003302)
Source: RNAcentral
AUGAUUUUAAGACUUGUUUAGCAUUGGUGAAAAAAAUGUAUGCCAAAAUGAAGAUUGGAGCGGACACUGAGACGGAAAUUCUGAGUCUCCAAGAUGAUGGAAAAGGAUUUCUUGUCACCAUAGACUACAAACCUGAAUGGAUGACCGCUCCUGAAAUCAUAAGCUUAUACGAUGUGUAUUUUGAUCCAUACGACCCUCGAGGGCUUGAAGAC